Molecule: ribosomal RNA, 372 nt
Filed under: Babesia bigemina
Lineage: Eukaryota; Apicomplexa; Aconoidasida; Piroplasmida; Babesiidae
Description: partial small subunit ribosomal RNA
Rfam family: Eukaryotic small subunit ribosomal RNA
Source: RNAcentral
CAGCAGCCGCGGUAAUUCCAGCUCCAAAAGGGUAUAUUAAACUUGUUGCAGUUAAAAAGCUCGUCCUUGUAUUUUAGCCGCGCGUUUUUUUCCUUGGGGGAUCUUUUCGUUGGCUUUUUUUACACUGAGAGAAAUUUAGUGCGUUUCAAGCAGACUUGCCUCGAGAAUACUUGCGCGGGGAAUAAAAGAGUGGGACUGGGUUCUAUUUUGUGGGUUUGGGCCUAGGUAAUGGUUAAUAGGAACGUUGGGGGCAUUCGUAUUUAACUGUCAGAGGUGAAAUUCUUAGAUUUGUUAAAGACGUGAACGACUGCGAAAGCAUUUGCCAAGGACGUUUUCAUUAAUCAAGAACUGAAAGGUUAGGGGAUUUAAUAA